Bacillus rossius redtenbacheri is the source of this 3197-nucleotide long non-coding RNA. RefSeq lists it as uncharacterized. NCBI's taxonomy places the organism in Eukaryota, Metazoa, Arthropoda, Insecta, Phasmatodea, Bacillidae. The record is from RefSeq and is a predicted model, not a curated record. The transcript is spliced from 2 exons.
AUAAAUAGUAAGUGUAGAGAAAUUUGGAGAACUUUUUUUAAAAAUCCAGAAUCAUCACGUAGGUAACAGGAAUAACGCGGGCAUUUAGAGGAUGUUUUACAGUGAUUAUUUUAUUUUAACACAGCAGUUGCACAAUAGGUUUAGUCUCUUAUGUGAAGCCAGACUUAAGAACUGAAUGUAAUAGGAAAAAUUUGAUGGUAAAAUUAAUUAAAUUGUGAGGUGGAACCAUGUGUUAUUUUUUUUUUGUGCUUCUAUUCUAGAAGUCCAGCAACUACUUAAAUUUUUGUGUUGGGUUUGUCUAACUGUAACAUCUGCAGAAGCAUGCAUACAUUCAUAUCAUACAAGUAUCUAACAAAAUUAAUGUUAUUGUUGCUAUUUUAAUUAUUAAUACACAUAACUAAUGGUUUUCAGACAUUCGUAUGGAUCUUACACUCCCCCUUCUGACUACAAAACUUAAAAUUUUCCAUUUGUAAAGGUAUUUCUGAAUUAGUUUGAGGAGAGAACAGUAUAUUAAGUUGGGUUUUUAUUCGAAAAGGUACAUAUAUGCAAACUUCUCGGGGCGAUGGCUGUGAAAAAAUCCGUACUUAAAAAAUAGGUUAUGUUUAGAAACUAGGGUACGUGGACCUAUUUUGCUACAAAGGAUAUAGUACACUUUUGCAUGCGCAUGUUCGUUAGUUUGGUGUACAGCCGUCCGAGCGCUGUCGCAAUAGUCGCACUUGUUCUAUGGUCAGUUUGCAUUCUAUCUCUAUAUAUAUACUCUCUUUUCUAUGUUUAUAAGUUUGCAAGUUAAGAACAAAUAUCCAUGAAUGAUACGGGGCUCUUGGUUUGCCUAUUGUACUUGCACUUGGCAAUUGUUUUAUAAACUUAAGUUUUAAUACGUCAAUGUAUUAGGUCCUCAUUUUUUACAUAUCGUUAAAUUGUCAAUGUGUAGCAAGUAUAUGUAUGUACAUCGUGUUUUAUUUCUUACGAAAUAUUUAUGUCUUGACUCAUCUCGACUGGUACUGUUAAAUUAUUCAGUAUUUUACAAAUUGUUUAAUAUUUCAAAAAUAGUCCUGCCCUAUAACUCGAAUCUUAAUAUAUAUAUAACAUAAUUUAAACAUUUGGUCACAAGCGUAAUAUUCGCAUACAUUAUGUGGAGAAGUUAAAAUAUUCUAAAUUUAAAAAAAUAUAGGUUUGCUCAUAAAAUUAAAUGUGUGCUUGUAGGAAAACCCACCAGAGUUUCGGGUGUUACGGGACGUGUAAGUGCACGUAAUCCUUGAACAUGACAUGCGAUAGAGUCCAAUUUAAUUGACCAUUGGUUGUAGAAUUAUAACUAAAAAAAUAUAUUAAAAAAUACAUUAUCAAUUUAGUAUCUGAAUUCAUCUCCAAAAAACCCUGCUCUAUACGAUGCCCAAUGAAGAUUCCUGCUGUCCCGGGCUUCUAGUGCUGAAACACUGCUGAGUGGGUGUGCCUCGCCUAACGGUCCGCCCUUAGCUAGACACGCGGCUGUUCUCCUCAAUGGGACAAAGAACCGGCAACACCGGAUGAACACGUGUUCCCGCCGGCGCAUUCCUUCCACCCUUCAGCCCACUCGCUGCCACGGUCAUAUUUCUGUCUGCGAUCUCUCGCUCUCAUCUCCACCCCAGCACUACCUGGUGACCAUGAUUCACAACCGCGACCUUGAAGCUUGCCCUUAAAACGAAAUGUAUAGCACUAUAUGAGAGUGUGGUGGACAUAGAGAAAUAACAUACAAUUGCUGUUUGUAUGUAUAUGAGCCUUUGUCCUAUAAAAAAACUUUUCAUUUGAAAAAACAAAUAUUUGGUCAUUAAUUGAGAUAAAAACUAUCCUACCCCUCAAGUUGGACUAAGUUACGUAUAUGCGCAAAAUGUCAUUAAAAUCGGUUAAGUAGUUUCGGAGAUUAGCGUGGACGAACAUCGUGACACGGGAUUUUUAUGUAUAAAGAUAUAUCAAUAAAAAUAUACAGCAUUUCAGCUAGGUAUAUAUAUCUAUAUUCAAAAUCAUAACGACUAAAAUUAUGUUAUUUAAAAAAUUCUUCUGUCUGAAUAUGCUUACUCAUAUCAGCCUCAAAGGCAAUAUAAUAUUUUAUAGUUAUUAAAAAUCAAAAUAACUAUAUAACUAAAGAUCAGAAUUUUCAAACAGCUUUCAAUCUAUCUUAUAAGUUCUAUUUUAAAUGUAGUGCAAUAAAAUCUCUCACAGAAAACUCAUUUAUUAAAUUAACAAGUUAUUGUCAUCUUAUUUUUCUGAGACAUUUGCCCAAAAUGCAGAUCACGGCCAUCGCUGUUUUCAAACCACGUUAUUGCGCACUGCUUCACAAGAAAAAGUCAGCUAGAACUCUGAGGGCCGCUUGCAGAGUCCCGCCUCAAAACUCCGAGGAUUCUCCGAGUGCGAGUGGAGUGUGAGUGGAGUUCGAGAUAGAAUUGAAUGAUAUUACUCGAGAUUUCUCCGUGCGUUGCAGAGUCGUCAAAUGGAGGUUCCUCGAAGCCGAGUGGAACUGUUACCACACGCCCACGGGGAAAAAUAUUUCUCUCGAUGUUCACCGCCUUGUAAAUGUAAUUUUUGUCUUUUUUAUGUUGGUGAUUUCAUCCGAAACAUCGAUAGAGUUUCCCCGCUUCACUCUUUGAAUUUUGAAAAAUGGACCCGAUGGGUAUGAGAAAGUUUAGUACUGAAGAAAAGGAUAUAUUGUGCAAGCUAGUACAUAAUCAUAAAUGCCUUGAAAACAAGCGAAGCGAUGUCACAUCAGUGACAGCAAAAAAGAAAGCCUGGGAGCAAGUUGCGACGGAAUUCAAUGCGCAAGAAUUCGUGCAAAAGCGCACUUAGUUGCACUAAAAAUAUGAAGAUGAGGAGGGAGCUGGCUGCAGAAUCCCGGUACAGAAUGGGAACAGGGGGUGGACAUUUCAUCCUCAGCAAGCCUGCACUUGAUGCAGCAGUGCCUCACUUAAUGGAAAAUCUUGGUUUUCUCUGGGACAGUGAUGCUGUUGCGGUGGAAGAGGCAGCUGCUGUCCCAGAGGAGACUGCUGUGGAAGAUGUGCCUCGUGAUCCAGCUCCUGCUGCUUCAACUGCACCAGUCCCUCAGACUUCUGCCCAAGGCAACUAUUUGAAUAUUGUAUUGUGUCUGUUCUCAUACUUCAUUCAAAAGUAGCAAAAUGUCCAGUGUACUGACCGAAAACAUUUGAGAAAUUAGAAAAUGGUGGUUUGAG